GAUGAAGAACGUAGCGAAGUGCGAUAAGUAAUGUGAAUUGCAGAAUUCCGUGAAUCAUCGAAUCUUUGAACGCAAAUUGCACUUUCUGGUAUUCCGGAGAGUAUGCCUGUUUGAGGGUCAGUGUAAUAAAAAUAAAUCGUGGUUGUUGCCACCUUUCGUGGUAACGCUUCGGAAUUGAGUCGUCUUACCUUCGGUUAAGUGACUUAAAAUUUUUUCAUACGAUUUCGAAACGUAUUUAAUGUAUUACGCGUACGUUCACGAAUGUCGAAUGUUUAUUAGGUGCGGUCAUUUUCAUGAAUUCGCGUCUAUAAUUUUUUUUUUUUUUUUGACCUCAAAUCAGGUAAGAGUACCCGCUGAACUUAAGCAUAUCAAUAAGCGGAGGA
Molecule: unclassified non-coding RNA, 383 nt
Filed under: soil metagenome
Description: partial contains 5.8S ribosomal RNA, internal transcribed spacer 2, and large subunit ribosomal RNA
Rfam family: 5.8S ribosomal RNA (bases 1-120)
Source: RNAcentral